RNAcentral lists this ribosomal RNA (487 nucleotides) under uncultured bacterium. RNAcentral describes it as "bacterial SSU rRNA". It matches the Rfam family "Bacterial small subunit ribosomal RNA", at positions 501 to 987 of the family's 1533-position model. The record is from RNAcentral.
CUACGUGCCAGCAGCCGCGGUAAUACGUAGGGUGCGAGCGUUAAUCGGAAUUACUGGGCGUAAAGCGAGCGCAGACGGUUACUUAAGCAGGAUGUGAAAUCCCCGGGCUCAACCUGGGAACUGCGUUCUGAACUGGGUGACUAGAGUGUGUCAGAGGGAGGUAGAAUUCCACGUGUAGCAGUGAAAUGCGUAGAGAUGUGGAGGAAUACCGAUGGCGAAGGCAGCCUCCUGGGAUAACACUGACGUUCAUGCUCGAAAGCGUGGGUAGCAAACAGGAUUAGAUACCCUGGUAGUCCACGCCCUAAACGAUGUCAAUUAGCUGUUGGGCAACUUGAUUGCUUAGUAGCGUAGCUAACGCGUGAAAUUGACCGCCUGGGGAGUACGGUCGCAAGAUUAAAACUCAAAGGAAUUGACGGGGACCCGCGCAAGCGGUGGAUGAUGUGGAUUAAUUCGAUGCAACGCGAAGAACCUUACCUGGUCUUGACAU